RNAcentral lists this ribosomal RNA (253 nucleotides) under uncultured bacterium. RNAcentral describes it as "partial 16S ribosomal RNA". It matches the Rfam family "Bacterial small subunit ribosomal RNA", at positions 524 to 776 of the family's 1533-position model. The record is from RNAcentral.
UACGAAGGGGGCUAGCGUUGCUCGGAAUCACUGGGCGUAAAGCGCUCGUAGGCGGUUUUUUAAGUCAGGGGUGAAAUCCUGGAGCUCAACUCCAGAACUGCCUUUGAUACUGGGAAGCUCGAGUCCGGGAGAGGUGAGUGGAACUCCGAGUGUAGAGGUGAAAUUCGUAGAUAUUCGGAAGAACACCAGUGGCGAAGGCGGCUCACUGGCCCGGUACUGACGCUGAGGUGCGAAAGCGUGGGGAGCAAACAGG